UGGGGAAUAUUGGACAAUGGGCGAAAGCCUGAUCCAGCAAUACCGCGUGAGUGAUGAAGGCCUUAGGGUUGUAAAGCUCUUUCAGUUGGAAAGAUAAUGACGGUACCAACAGAAGAAGCCCCGGCUAACUACGUGCCAGCAGCCGCGGUAAGACGUAGGGGGCUAGCGUUGUUCGGAAUUACUGGGCGUAAAGAGCGCGUAGGCGGUCUGUUAAGUUGGAAGUGAAAGCCCGGGGCUUAACCCCGGAAUUGCUUUCAAAACUGGCAAGCUAGAGUGCGAGAGGGGGUGAUGGAAUUCCUAGUGUAGAGGUGAAAUUCUUAGAUAUUAGGAGGAACACCGGUGGCGAAGGCGAUCACCUGGCUCGAUACUGACGCUGAGGCGCGAAAGCGUGGGGAGCAAACAGG
RNAcentral lists this ribosomal RNA (404 nucleotides) under uncultured bacterium. RNAcentral describes it as "bacterial SSU rRNA". It matches the Rfam family "Bacterial small subunit ribosomal RNA", at positions 355 to 776 of the family's 1533-position model. The record is from RNAcentral.